This is a long non-coding RNA of Notothenia coriiceps (black rockcod), 1244 nucleotides long. RefSeq lists it as uncharacterized. NCBI's taxonomy places the organism in Eukaryota, Metazoa, Chordata, Actinopteri, Perciformes, Nototheniidae. The record is from RefSeq and is a predicted model, not a curated record. The transcript has 3 exons.
UGUGUGUGUGCGCUGCAGGUUUCUUCCUGCCAGUCUUCACUCAGGGAAAACCCCCCCUCACUUCAAGGUGACGUACAACGUGUCUACGUCACUUCCACAAACAACAUGGCGGCGGUCUUGCGGAGGGCGUGCAGCGGAGUCUCUUCCAGGUUUUUAUUCCUUUAUUUACUUUGUUUAACUUGUUUACUGUAAACAUUUCAAUGUGUUUGUUGUUCGACCGCCCGCCGCAUCAGUCAGUGACGCGUCCGGAGCGUCACGGCGCUGUGACGCAUUUACCUGUGACGUCAGACUCAAAAUAACGUUUCACUGCGUGUGACGUCAGACAGGUGUGUUUAAUGUGACGUCACACAGGUGCUGGGUGUGCGAGCCGGAGUGAUGAAGCUUCGGCUCAGGUAACGCCUUUUUAUUUAUUAUUUGACGACAACAAUAAACUAUAUAAUAUAAUAUGGUUUUAGUUUUCUGUAAGAAUCAGCCAAGAAAGAUAAACAACAACAACAACAUCUGGUCCCUCUCAAGUAAACAUGUUGAGUGGUUUUGUUUGUCUUUAGAGAGUAAUCUGCGCCAGGUAACACUAACCAUGUGUGGUUUUUCAGGUGUUCAUCACGUGACAAGAGUUUCUUCUCUGAGCUACAGUCAGCAGAGAGCGCUGAACACAGGCGUCCCCAGCGGACCGCGCAGGAGCGUCUUUCAGAUGGUCUGCAAUGUGUUGGAAAUCUGUAAAUAAAGCUUUCAUUCUGAAUCUCUGACCAUCAGAAAUACUGUAAUAAUUGCCUCCUGUAGUCCAUGGUUACAUCAUCUCCCCAGCAGGAGUCCCACGGAGCCGCCGUUAGCACGUUAGCAUGCUACACAUAAAUGCAAUGUAAUGUAAUGUACACUCCAACAAGCCGUCCAACAUGCUAACGCUAGUAGCUAGCCCGCAUCUUGAACAGCUCAAAUAUAACUCUUUGUUUCUGACACGACUAGCUGAGCGGCUAGCUGAAGCGGCUAGUUGAGCGGCUAGCUGAAGCAGCUAGCUAGCUGAGUGGCUAGCUGAACGCUCAGCUGAACGGCUAGCUGAAGUGGCUAGCUGAAGCGGCUAGCUGAGCGGCUCAGCUGUGCGGCUAGCUGAAGCGGCUAGCUGAGCGGCUCAGCUGAGCGGCUAGCGCUCCCGGGGGCUGAGUUGUUAAUAACAACUCAAUAAAAUAUUAAAGGUCACAUGUCAUGGCCAUUUCCACUGAUCAUAAUUCCAUUGUUGAGGUAUACUA